AGUAAGUGUACCACAGGCUCAUGCUACCUCUAGGAACCAAUAGGGUCGGGUGUGGAUUCUACACGGACCCUUGACCAUGAUGACCCAGCAAGGCUCCGUCUCCAAGGAUGCCAGGACAGGACAGGAUGCGGCAGCCAGACUGAAUAAAUUAGCAGCACACAAGAGCUAGUGACGUCCAAAAGGACAUUUCUCGAUUCCUGCUGGACUUCCUGAGCACCUGGCAUCAGCAGACCUUCGACAGAUGCAUGUGACUUGUGCCACCCCCACUGGUGGCUUCGGGCAGGUCUCUGCUUCAGUAUGGACCUCAUUUUGUACAUCUAUAAAACAGGAUGGGAGCUGGACCUGGUGGACCGAUUUCCAGCAGCAAGUGCUCGUCUCUGUGGCCCAGCAGGGAGCAUGUGGCAUCAGGAAAGGCUGCAGGUGGCUGGCCUGGAGCUCGAGUCACUGAUCCUAGGAAGAGCCAGUGUAUGGUUCCCCAGCUCAGUGUCCUGCCGCAGCCAAGGCGGGGAACAGAGGGGCACAGGACAGGAAGUGAAAUCUGGGUCACCAGCCCCCAAGGCCCCUCCCUCACUCUACCUCUGUCUGAGCCGGGAAGGUCACCAGGCCAGGACCAGUCAGAGUUCCUCUCUGGGCCAAGGACAAGGAGGUGGCAUGGGGCUGGAGACCUGGCCACCUUCCCAAAAUAGGUGCUGCUGUCUUCCCAAGAGAAUGGAAUCGCGAUAACUCAGCGGGCGCAGGUUCAAAGCUCCAGCUGGGUGGAAUCCUGGCAGAAGUUGGUCUGAGGCUGGGAUGCGGUGGGAACAAUAAUGUGCUUUUGGCAGGCAGAGAGUUUUCCUUUCAGGCACUUGAAAUGGAUGCUUCUUCCUCCACCUCCUGCAGGGAAUUUCCAGAAUCGGAAAGAAUCUUCCCGGAAACUGGUUUUCCCGGUUUCCAUCUCAAGGGUCAGUUCUGCAGCCCCACCCACCACCCAACAAAAUGAGAUGGUUGAAUUCCCCUGGUACCCUGGCCUGAGGCAACAAUAGUUCCCCAGGGUGUGGAAUCUUUUCCAUCUGGACUUGGUCCUCUCACAGAGAAGUCUCCUCCUUGCUUUUAAAUUUACAAGAUUAAUUCAUACUAAAGUGUGACCAGCUCCCUUUUGGCUGAUCUGAGCAUUUGACUGAAUGGGAAUCACAGAAGUUCUGUUUUAUUCCUCUUAUGAUUACAGUGUCAAGCACAGGGCCUGGAGCUAGGUCAUGUCGUGUGGACAAUAACACAGAUGACAGCAGUAUUGGUAAUAAAAAACAACAGCUA
This 1290-nucleotide long non-coding RNA is filed under the name Heterocephalus glaber (naked mole-rat). Its description in RNAcentral is "lncRNA (ENSHGLG00100047263.1)". Lineage: Eukaryota; Metazoa; Chordata; Mammalia; Rodentia; Bathyergidae. The record is from RNAcentral.